ACCCCCUCGCGUUUUCUCCGACAAGCAUCGUGGUCCUCCGUUUUCUCUAGUGUGCUGUCCUGCUCCGCCGCAUCGUCUCCCGCUCCGCCGCGCCUCGCCCGUCGCCCAUGCCACGCCGCGCCGGCCACCACGCCUCGAUCGCGCCUGCGCCUGCGCCGCUCCACUCCCCCGCGCCUCCUCCCUCGAUUCGGACGCUUUCUCCUGCGAUUCGGCACCGCGGCUGGGAGGGACGAUUCGGGAGGCUCGGCAUACUCCGGCGGCUCAGAAACUGGUGUCUCGGUGGCUCCUCCACCUUGGAUUUGAUUUGGAGGGCAUGGGGACGAGUGAUGUGCUGCUGCGGUGCUCCUCCACCUUUGUCGUCCAUGGCGGGCGGCGGCGCGGAAGUGUGUGGUUCGGCGCCAACUUACUGCAAAUUCCCCAAUGAGUUGAGACGAUCUCACUUGAUGAGGCUGCAAGGCUGCUCCUUGGAGAGACAUGCUGAGAGCAAUAUGAGAACUAAAGUUCGACGACUGUAUGACAUUGCCAAUGUGCUAUCUUCUUUGAACCUUAUUGAGAAGACACAACAAGUGGAUUCAAGAAAGCCUGCAUUCAGGUGGCUCACAUUUCCAUUCAUAUUGAUAUGCAUAAAUUGGUGUAUGACCAUGUAAGGGAGGAGAGGAAGCAUAUUCAAGAUUGGAAAAUCUCACUAAAUCGUUGCAGAACCAAAAUCCAAGGAGUGAAAUUGAGGCUGCAGAGGAAGGCGACGACCAUGUCCUCCCUCGUCCAGGUCUUCAGUGACCUCCUUCCUCGACGGAGCGGCGACAGACGGCGAGGAAGCAGCGGAGGAGGGAGCUGUGGAGGAGAGGCGCGGUCGUAGGAGGGAGCGCGGCUAGCCGCCCGCCCGCCCGGCGCGUCCGCGAGCUCUGGCGGCGGGAGCUCCGCUUGCCUCCGGUGGCGCGAGGACAGCAGGACGGCGACGCAGGGCAGCGCGAUGGAUAUCCGCGCCCGCGAGUUCUGGCGGGAGGCCGGCGGGAGCUCCGUGAGCCUCCAGCAGCACGACGACCGCGGGACGAAGACGGAGGGCAGCGCGAUGGGAAGAUUCGGUUUUGAAUUUCAGGUUUGAAUUCCAAAAUUCAAAUGCUCUGGAUGUUUCAGGGAUUAUUUUGCAAAAUUUGAUUUGCACUGGACAUGAGGGAGGACGCCGACAUCCUUUUAUGGACAGAGAGAGUACUACUUGUACUCAGCAUGAUAACCAAGUUGAAUACUCUCUCCGUUCUAUAGCAAGUGACUUCUAUUACAAUGUAUAUAGAUGUUUUUAAAAUAUAAAUACAUUCAUAUUUAGGUAAAUUUGAUUUACUUGGUA
This is a long non-coding RNA of Brachypodium distachyon (stiff brome), 1342 nucleotides long. RefSeq lists it as uncharacterized. The transcript is spliced from 5 exons. Lineage: Eukaryota; Viridiplantae; Streptophyta; Magnoliopsida; Poales; Poaceae. The record is from RefSeq and is a predicted model, not a curated record.